Molecule: transfer RNA, 86 nt
Filed under: Starmerella bacillaris
Lineage: Eukaryota; Fungi; Ascomycota; Dipodascomycetes; Dipodascales; Trichomonascaceae
Description: tRNA-Tyr
Rfam family: tRNA
About the family: Transfer RNA (tRNA) molecules are approximately 80 nucleotides in length. Their secondary structure includes four short double-helical elements and three loops (D, anti-codon, and T loops).
Source: RNAcentral
GAAUAUGUUUAGUAUAUUGGUAUUACUAGCUAAGCUGUAAACUUAGUAACUAUUUAGUUGUGUAGGUUCAAUUCCUAUCAUAUUCA